This 492-nucleotide ribosomal RNA is filed under the name uncultured bacterium. Its description in RNAcentral is "partial 16S ribosomal RNA". It matches the Rfam family "Bacterial small subunit ribosomal RNA", at positions 29 to 507 of the family's 1533-position model. The record is from RNAcentral.
AGUGAACGCUGGCGGUAGGCCUAACACAUGCAAGUCGAACGGCAGCACAGUAAGAGCUUGCUCUUACGGGUGGCGAGUGGCGGACGGGUGAGGAAUACAUCGGAACCUACUUUUUCGUGGGAGAUAACGAAGGGAAACUUACGCCAAUACCGCAUACGACCUACGGGGGAAAGCAGUGGAUAGUCGCAGCUUGCGCGAUUGAACUCGCCGCUGUCGGAUUAGCUAGUUGGGGGGGUAAAGGCCCACCAAGGCGAGGAUCCGUAGCUGGUCUGAGAGGAUGAUCAGCCACACUGGAACUGAGACACGGUCCAGACUCCUACGGGAGGCAGCAGUGGGGAAUAGUAGACAAUGGGCGCAAGCCUUAUCCAGCCAUACCGCGUGGGUGACGAAGGCCUUCGGGUUGGAAAGCCCUUUUGUUGGGAAAGAACAGCAGCAGGUUAAUACCGCGCUGUUCCGACGGUACCCAAAGAAUAAGCACCGGCUAACUUCGUG